RNAcentral lists this ribosomal RNA (670 nucleotides) under uncultured bacterium. Its description in RNAcentral is "bacterial SSU rRNA". It matches the Rfam family "Bacterial small subunit ribosomal RNA", at positions 9 to 694 of the family's 1533-position model. The record is from RNAcentral.
GAGUUUGAUCCUGGCUCAGGAUGAACGCUGGCGGCGUGCUUAACACAUGCAAGUCGAGCGAUGAAGUUUCCUUCGGGAAACGGAUUAGCGGCGGACGGGUGAGUAACACGUGGGUAACCUGCCUCAUAGAGUGGAAUAGCCUUCCGAAAGGAAGAUUAAUACCGCAUAAUGUUGAAAGAUGGCAUCAUCAUUCAACCAAAGGAGCAAUCCGCUAUGAGAUGGACCCGCGGCGCAUUAGCUAGUUGGUGGGGUAACGGCCUACCAAGGCGACGAUGCGUAGCCGACCUGAGAGGGUGAUCGGCCACAUUGGGACUGAGACACGGCCCAGACUCCUACGGGAGGCAGCAGUGGGGAAUAUUGCACAAUGGGGGAAACCCUGAUGCAGCAACGCCGCGUGAGUGAUGAAGGUUUUCGGAUCGUAAAGCUCUGUCUUUGGGGAAGAUAAUGACGGUACCCAAGGAGGAAGCCACGGCUAACUACGUGCCAGCAGCCGCGGUAAUACGUAGGUGGCGAGCGUUAUCCGGAUUUACUGGGCGUAAAGGGAGCGUAGGCGGAUGAUUAAGUGGGAUGUGAAAUACCCGGGCUCAACUUGGGUGCUGCAUUCCAAACUGGUUAUCUAGAGUGCAGGAGAGGAAAGUGGAAUUCCCAGUGUAGCGGUGAAAUGCGUAGA